UUAUUCUUCUCUCUCGUCCAUACCCCCUCCUCCGCCUCGGAGCGGGCGAUGGAGAACACUCUUCUUGAUAUUCGUCCACCCUUAUAUCAUUCUCUCUCGUCCAACCACCCUCUUCUCCUCCGUCUCGGAAUCGGCGAUGGAGAACCCUAGGAUAUAAGCAGCAGAGAGAUCGAAGAGAACUGCACGGCCAUUCUCGACGGCGCCGGCAUGGAGGACGCCCGCAAUAUCCACGACGACCGGCUCUCGUUCUUGGAAGACGUCCGGUUCGCUUCUCUUGCGUCCGAGUUCCCUUCCUCUCCUCCUUGGAGAACGUUUCAUGCGAUCUUUCAGAUUCUCAUAGCAAAUCUCUGGAACUGGCCAUGGUCAGCUACCAGCUUCUAAAUGAGUUGGAGUUGGUAUUUCUAGUUCUUUCUUUAACGCCUUCUUUCUGAUUGCAAUGAUGCUAAACUGAUAAAUCUAAAUCAUUUCUUGUUACUUUAUAUCGCGUUACCCGAGAGUCUAUUUGACGUGUCCAGAUAAACCAGAAUCAACUUCUGGUGGAACUGGUGAGCUCAUUGUGGUUAAAGAGACAUGAUCGCCGUCAAUUCUUGGCUCAGAAGUUGCCUAUGCUGACGGGGAGGCAGCUGGUAAAUGUCUAGAUCGCUUGUUUGACUCCGUUUCCAUAAGCAUCUAACAACAUGCUUAUUGAAUAAUGAUGGCUUCAUUUUAGACAAAUAACAACUGGAGGGAUGCAACAAGAAGCAUUGGCAGCGGAAAAAUUUCCAAAUAAGCAGUUACCUUAUGAUUCCCUAGACCAGACCCAGGGUUGUUGAUCACAACUGAAUGCGGAAAAUUGCAAGUAUCUCCUGGUGAAAUGGUAGUUCUCCUGCAAGGAUUUCAUUUUGCUAUUAAGUUGCCUGAUGGCCCAUCACGUGGUUAUGUUGCUGAAGUUUUUGGCACCCAUUUUCAACUUCCUGAGCUUGGCCCGAUAGGUGCCAACGGUCUGGUUUCUCCUAGGGAUUUUCUUGUUCCCACAGCUUGGUUUGAAGAAAGUUUCCAUUCAGGGUACAUGAUUGUGCAAAAGUUUGGUGGUGAAUUGUUUACUGCAAAACAAGAUUUUUCUCCAUUUAAUGUGGUUGCUUGGCAUGGAAAUUAUCUACCAUAUGAGUGCAGUACUGACGACCCUGUCUGGUAAGCCUGGUGUUGCACUGCUUGAUUUUGUGAUCUUCCCACCUCGAUGGUUGGUUGCCGAGCAUACCUUUCACCCUCCUUAUUACCAUCGCAAUUGUAUGAGUGAAUUUAUGGAUUUAAUUUAUGGGGCUAAAGCUGAUGGAUUUCUUCCUGGAGGUGCUAGCCUACAUAGCUGCAUGACACCACAUGGACCCGAUGCAAGGACAUAUGAGGCAACGAUAGCUAGUGGUGAGGAUUUUGAGCCAUUUAGAAUAAGUGGUACAAUGGCCUUCAUGUUUGAGUCUUCCCUUAUCCCUUGAGUCUGCUCAUGGGCACCUGAGUCUCCAAAUGUCGAUGCUGAGUACUACCAGUGCUGGAUUGGACUGAGGUCGCACUUUUCAUGCAAUGUGAAACAAGCAGUAAAUGGAAGUGGCAGUCCAAGCAGCGGAGAAGUUCUGCUUGGAGAUAAUGCAGUGCAUGAUCAUGGAAGCAAUGAUUGAUGUGCUUCCCGUUACUGAAUUAUUCAAGCAGUCAUGUUGUACAUGUCCCAGCAAAAUAAUGUCCAUAGAAAAUAGAUCCGUAAUAUAAAAGAAAAUGCGCACAGUGAAGUAUCUCAUAUUGAAUUAAGCACCAGAUCUUUCUGACAACCAAGAUGUUGCAUCUAAAAUAGUUUUGAUUCAACAUCCAUGAGAUUAUCUGUUCGAACUGUUGUGCAAUACCCCCAAUUUAAGAUCUUUAUUUCCUCGCUGACUAGAAUAUGCUAUUGAUAUUAAGUUCUAUUUC
Non-coding RNA from Phoenix dactylifera (date palm), 1932 nucleotides. Lineage: Eukaryota; Viridiplantae; Streptophyta; Magnoliopsida; Arecales; Arecaceae. The record is from RefSeq and is a predicted model, not a curated record.